RNAcentral lists this small nuclear RNA (18 nucleotides) under Arabidopsis thaliana (thale cress). Its description in RNAcentral is "snRNA_01770". Lineage: Eukaryota; Viridiplantae; Streptophyta; Magnoliopsida; Brassicales; Brassicaceae. The record is from RNAcentral.
UCGGUUAGAGCAAAGCCC